This 165-nucleotide ribosomal RNA is filed under the name uncultured bacterium. RNAcentral's name for it is "partial 16S rRNA". It matches the Rfam family "Bacterial small subunit ribosomal RNA", at positions 355 to 511 of the family's 1533-position model. The record is from RNAcentral.
UAGGGAAUCUUCGGCAAUGGACGAAAGUCUGACCGAGCAACGCCGCGUGAGUGAAGAAGGUCUUCGGAUCGUAAAACUCUGUUGUUAGAGAAGAACGACGAGGAGAGUGGAAAGCUCAUCGUGUGACGGUAUCUAACCAGAAAGGGACGGCUAACUACGUGCCAG